Molecule: long non-coding RNA, 2094 nt
Filed under: Mus musculus (house mouse)
Lineage: Eukaryota; Metazoa; Chordata; Mammalia; Rodentia; Muridae
Description: predicted gene 20544
Source: RNAcentral
AGUUACUGCCACCCUCUCCCAGGUCUAGAGAGGGGUACCCACGGUGGAGGGAGGUGGGAGGCCGAGACGGCCCCGGGGGUCGGCGGAGACCCAGCGGGAGCAGGGGGAAAUCGGAAGAGCUGGGGGCAUGGAGCGGGCGAGUUUGGAGCGGAAUGAGCCGGGAGCCCUACGUUGUGGAAGGAAGACAACAGUAUAGGACCAUCAGCAGGACCGGACAGAGAGGGGCACACCCGAGGGUGAAGGAUGAGGAGGAUGGAAGAAAAUGGGAGUGGCGCUUGCUGCAAAGGGUCUCGAAGGGUCUCAGCACCUGCGAACUGGCUCCAAUCCAAACUCCACUAUUCAUGGUCAAGUUCACAUAGGGCUUGGGGUUCUAACAAGAUGUGACUAAACUUACGUUUUCUAUCUUAUUGAUUGUUGUUGAUGCACGUCUGGUGGUACAUGCUUGAAGAACACAGACACCCUGAGAAGAAAGACAUAGCUCCCCAGAUUCCAGCACGCACUUCUCUGUGAGCUACCACUGUAGCUGAAGAUACAGGGCUCAGGAGGAACACUUGGCCUUCGCUCUGAACUUCAGGCCCACGUAACCAUCAGCCGACAUGACACUGCAAAGGCACCUUAGCUCUGCUGUCCCAGAUGGCCAAGCCAACCUUAUUCCAGAAGCUACUUCUCCUGAUGUAAGAACCAGACACAAAGGACAACCUCUGCCUCACCCUCCUUCACACAACACUGAGUCUGUCAUCUUUGAAGCAUUUCUCAAGCCAUGUUUAUUCCCCUGGCCUACGUGGAACACAGCCAGGGUACGGAACACAACCUCAGCACCGGUCUGCUUUCCUCUCCCCAUUUCUGGUCUUUCUCAGAUGCCCAGAGCUCCUCUGUCCCAAUGACUGCUUAUCAAAGAUCUCACUGUGUCCCCACCCAAGGGGUCUUUGGCCACCCUGUGAAGUCCUAGUGGCCUGGAGUUUGCCCCCUUUCCCAGACACCUUAGGGUUCCUGCUGCAGCUCCAGAACUGGGGGAGCAGGGUUGGGGGUGAGUGUGUGUGUGUGUGUGUGUGUGUGUGUGUGUGUGUGUGUUGACUCACCCUGCAGUAUUCUCUCCAUCUGCACAGGUCCCCAGUCUCUGAGACUGAAUCACCCCUCUUUCACUAUGCCUCUGCACAGCUGCCCUUGUGCUCCCUCUCCUUGCCCCGCCUCUUUUUAAGACAGUAUUAUGCAGCCCUGGCUGUCCUGGAACUUAUGUAAACCAGCCUGGCCUUGAACUUGCAGAGAUCCACCUGCCUUUGCCUCUGCCCCUGCCCCUGCCCCUGCCCCUGCCCCUGCCCCUGCCCCUGCCUUUCUGCCUCUGCCUCUGCCUCUCUGCCUUUCUGCCUCUGCCUCUCUGCCUCUGCCUCUCUGCCUCUGCCUCUCAAGUGUCAGGGAUUAAUGCCUGCCACCUCCCCAGUCCCACCCCUCUCCAUCUACCAUGUGGGUUCCACGGGGCAAACCCAAGUCAUCAGGCUUGUUGGCCAGUGCCUUUAUCCACUGAGCCAAGCCGCUUGGUGUGUCUUUGAUGGUGAUUAUUUACAGGAGCUAUUCAGCAAGGUUAAAUGCUGGCAACCCAAUGAGGGGGUCUCUUGAUCCAAAACUGAGAAGUUGAGGCACUAUUUCAGAAUGACCAAAGACAGUAGAAGAAUCUAGAUAUGUCGAUGAUGAGAACAAUGAUAACUCCAAAAGCUGAGGGAAAUUAACUCAAAAUCUUCCAGCUUCCUUUUCCUUACCUAGUUUGGCGGACUCCAACUCUUGGGAUAGCUUUUUUUCUGGCCCCAAACUCACCUGAUUCGUCUGUCCACUGCCACACUGAAGAAUGAACAGCUGUCUCAGAGAGCUUGGCUCCAGAGCUCUGCAAAAAGAGGACACCUUGCCUUGAGCUGUGUUUCCAGAAUGUAUUGCAGCCCCCAGAGUCAUGUACUGUGACCAGGUGAGGACAUGCAUCUUCUGUUCUCCUGCACCCAGGGCCCCAGCAACCAAGGAUCUGGGGACAUGGCGGGUGUUUGGCAGGUUCGCACUCUGAAAAUAUUUGAUGAGACUCAGUAUAUGCUAAAUAAACACUGGAUCAAG